GGAAUCUGCCUGGUAGUGGGGGAUAACGUUCGGAAACGGACGCUAAUACCGCAUACGUCCUACGGGAGAAAGCAGGGGACCUUCGGGCCUUGCGCUAUCAGAUGAGCCUAGGUCGGAUUAGCUAGUUGGUGAGGUAAUGGCUCACCAAGGCGACGAUCCGUAACUGGUCUGAGAGGAUGAUCAGUCACACUGGAACUGAGACACGGUCCAGACUCCUACGGGAGGCAGCAGUGGGGAAUAUUGGACAAUGGGCGAAAGCCUGAUCCAGCCAUGCCGCGUGUGUGAAGAAGGUCUUCGGAUUGUAAAGCACUUUAAGUUGGGAGGAAGGGCAGUUACCUAAUACGUGAUUGUUUUGACGUUACCGACAGAAUAAGCACCGGCUAACUCUGUGCCAGCAGCCGCGGUAAUACAGAGGGUGCAAGCGUUAAUCGGAAUUACUGGGCGUAAAGCGCGCGUAGGUGGUUAGUUAAGUUGGAUGUGAAAUCCCCGGGCUCAACCUGGGAACUGCAUUCAAAACUAACUGACUAGAGUAUGGUAGAGGGUGGUGGAAUUUCCUGUGUAGCGGUGAAAUGCGUAGAUAUAGGAAGGAACACCAGUGGCGAAGGCGACCA
This 611-nucleotide ribosomal RNA is filed under the name Pseudomonas sp. Its description in RNAcentral is "bacterial SSU rRNA". It matches the Rfam family "Bacterial small subunit ribosomal RNA", at positions 121 to 727 of the family's 1533-position model. The record is from RNAcentral. Lineage: Bacteria; Pseudomonadati; Pseudomonadota; Gammaproteobacteria; Pseudomonadales; Pseudomonadaceae.